CACUUGACAGUCAAACUAGGGGUUGAUCCUCCAAACGUAGAUCAAAUUGAAACCGAUUUUCAGCCCCUUCAAAUUUUUUCCAUAAUCUUCCCAUCGCUCCUUUCUCAAACUAGCAUCCAAACUAUGAAGAAACAUAGCCAAUGAAGACCAACAUGCGGAAGAAGAUGGUGCUGCCAUAAUACCUUUCACAUGCAACAAAACUUCAAGCUAUUAAAGGUGAUACAAAAGAAGAAGGAGAACACGAGAGGUUUAAAGUGGUUCGGUCAGAGACCUACGUCCACUGCUGAAUCUUUUGAUUUCUUGAAGAGAUUUGCAGCAAUCACUCAAAAACAGAGAAAACAUUAAAGGCAAAGAAGCAACAUGCAAAUCUUUACUUCAUGAGAAAGAAAGAAAUUGAAGAACGAGAGAGAGCAAGGGAAAAAGAAGAUGAUCACAAGCAAGGUUUAAGUGGUUCAGCAACUUGUGCUUACAUCUAUUGUGGAAAAUUGGUAGCUUCUCCGUUUCAUUCAAUGAUUCAAAAUGAAUCUUCACAGAUCAAUCAUACAGUACAAGAGUCUCUCAAAGCAAGCUAUUUAAAGGACCUUCUUUUAUAUAAGUCUUCUGUCUCAACAACUAUUUAUUUCUCUAUUUGUUGAUUGUUGGAAUGCCUUGAAUCUAUUUGUUGGUGCUUUG
Molecule: long non-coding RNA, 672 nt
Organism: Benincasa hispida (wax gourd)
Lineage: Eukaryota; Viridiplantae; Streptophyta; Magnoliopsida; Cucurbitales; Cucurbitaceae
Source: RefSeq, a predicted model, not a curated record